GAGCAACGUCAUUGAGGAUAAUGGGA
This 26-nucleotide small RNA is filed under the name Bombyx mori (domestic silkworm). RNAcentral's name for it is "ovarian small RNA-15740". Lineage: Eukaryota; Metazoa; Arthropoda; Insecta; Lepidoptera; Bombycidae. The record is from RNAcentral.